UGUGCUAAAACCAAAAUUAAGCACCAUUUCCAUGAUCCACAUUAUAUACCCACAAUUUUUAACUUCUUUAGUUACACACAUAAAUAUAUGUAUGCAAGAAUUUUUGUGUAUACACACUCAUUAAUUAUUUGUGUAUACCUGUCGUGCUUGAACCCAUUCGCACCACAAAGCGUUGUCGGCGAGUCAGGUUGUUUGGGAAUGUAGCCCUAAUCGGGCAGUAAAUUCAAUCCAAGGCGAAAUAUGGGUAAGAGACUAAUAGCAAACAAGUAUCGUGAGGAAAAAAUGAAAAAGAUUUUGAAAAAAAAGUCAAAGAGUGUUUGAAAUUGUCGAAAAGAAAGUGGAUGGGCCGACGGUGCGCCUUGGUCUGAUAUGGAAUGACAACAAGCCAGUCUGCCGAUCGACUAGGGCGUGGACCAAUGCAAUUUAAAGCGAUGACCCAAGCUCGGGCUGUUGUCAUGCCCAUAGAGAUAUCAUUGCCUUGAUCAUGGAAUGCAACAUGUGUCGUCUUGGCAUGCCUCGACACCUGCAUGCUCAUGGUGUCAACCCGUAGGCCCCCUAUUCGGCCUAUUUUGAAACACAG
RNAcentral lists this non-coding RNA (580 nucleotides) under Vitis vinifera (wine grape). Its description in RNAcentral is "Eukaryotic large subunit ribosomal RNA". It matches the Rfam family "Eukaryotic large subunit ribosomal RNA", at positions 1 to 664 of the family's 3401-position model. Lineage: Eukaryota; Viridiplantae; Streptophyta; Magnoliopsida; Vitales; Vitaceae. The record is from Rfam by way of RNAcentral.